RNAcentral lists this ribosomal RNA (253 nucleotides) under uncultured bacterium. RNAcentral's name for it is "partial 16S ribosomal RNA". It matches the Rfam family "Bacterial small subunit ribosomal RNA", at positions 524 to 776 of the family's 1533-position model. The record is from RNAcentral.
UACGGGGGGGGCAAGCGUUGUUCGGAAUUACUGGGCGUAAAGGGCUCGUAGGCGGCCAACUAAGUCAAACGUGAAAUCCCUCGGCUUAACCGGGGAACUGCGUCUGAUACUGGAUGGCUUGAGUUUGGGAGAGGGAUGCGGAAUUCCAGGUGUAGCGGUGAAAUGCGUAGAUAUCUGGAGGAACACCGGUGGCGAAGGCGGCAUCCUGGACCAACGCUGACGCUGAGGAGCGAAAGCCAGGGGAGCAAACGGG